UGGGGAAUAUUGCACAAUGGGCGCAAGCCUGAUGCAGCCAUGCCGCGUGUAUGAAGAAGGCCUUCGGGUUGUAAAGUACUUUCAGCGGGGAGGAAGGGAGUAAAGUUAAUACCUUUGCUCAUUGACGUUACCCGCAGAAGAAGCACCGGCUAACUCCGUGCCAGCAGCCGCGGUAAUACGGAGGGUGCAAGCGUUAAUCGGAAUUACUGGGCGUAAAGCGCACGCAGGCGGUAUGUUAAGUCAGAUGUGAAAUCCCCGGGCUCAACCUGGGAACUGCAUCUGAUACUGGCAAGCUUGAGUCUCGUAGAGGGGGGUAGAAUUCCAGGUGUAGCGGUGAAAUGCGUAGAGAUCUGGAGGAAUACCGGUGGCGAAGGCGGCCCCCUGGACGAAGACUGACGCUCAGGUGCGAAAGCGUGGGGAGCAAACA
RNAcentral lists this ribosomal RNA (427 nucleotides) under uncultured bacterium. RNAcentral describes it as "partial 16S ribosomal RNA". It matches the Rfam family "Bacterial small subunit ribosomal RNA", at positions 355 to 774 of the family's 1533-position model. The record is from RNAcentral.